RNAcentral lists this long non-coding RNA (1407 nucleotides) under Pogona vitticeps (central bearded dragon). Its description in RNAcentral is "lncRNA (ENSPVIG00000011500.1)". Lineage: Eukaryota; Metazoa; Chordata; Lepidosauria; Squamata; Agamidae. The record is from RNAcentral.
GAUGGCCCCUAUGGGGAAAAUUCGCUUUGCAAUGAUCGCGGGGGAGUGCUCCCCCACGAUCAUCACAAAGGCCCCACCGGUCAUGUGUUCCAAAAAACGGGCUUUGGGCUGCUCGCGGCGAAGCGCUUCUCCUUACUUCCUCCACUACACAAGGAUCUAAAACCAGGGGCUGCAAUCGUGGACUUUUUGUCUCUCAAACCAUCCAAUUCCGAACUUUUACCUAGCACUUCAUCUCUGGCCAUCAAUAUACAAUCAGAUAAGACUCCUACUGAAGGUAAACCUGUUCAAUCACCAAAAAUCUCAAUUGUGCUUUCAAAGCAUCAGUUAGUGUUUCUUAACUUUCCUAAGCCCAAUGGAAAACUAACUCAGCUAGGAAAGAAAUGUCACCUCUUACAAAUUCUUGAAGAGGCAGGAGUGUAUCACCUGUCAAUUGAAGGCAUAGAAACUGUUGAAUAUCUUUGCUUCAUUAAUCCCACCUAUGGAAUAAAAGCAACUUUCACAGGCCCAACUUUUGUGUAUCCUAUACUUAGACAAAGGCAGGCUUUUGCUAGUUUAGGUGUUCAGGUGAAGAGGCACUUUGUCAAUGCCAUAAUCCAGCCACUGAUCAAAGACUGGUCUGCUAGGGAUGGACAAAUUAUAGAACAGGAGAAAUCUUUACCAACUUAUACAUUAAUACGUUUAGAUGUUAGUGAUGCAAAUUCAAGAUUUGAGAAUUUAAACUCCACUGGUCAUAGAAGCAAGAACCUCUCCUAUAAUAACCAAUUAAACAGAGACACAAGCGACACCCUCCAAAGCUCUCUGGAAGUAAGCAACUACUUUCCAGAGGCUACUCCAAUAGUGCCUAUGAUGAUCUUCGAAGAGGAGAACAUUCUAAUUGAGAGGUAUUUCACGUUGCCUAUAACAGAACAACAGCAUAUCAUAAACAGGCUUGAAAUGCUUAUCCGUAAUUUAGUCAGUAGUUCAUUUAGUUUAAAUCCCUCACAAGAGCAAGCAAAUGAAUUUCAAACAAAAUCUGCAGACUUCUGUGCAACAGCAUCACAAGCUUCCUGUAUACAAAUCCUAUCAGAGGAUGACCUGGUACAUAGAUUGCUAUUGACAAAUUCAGGGAUCUGCCAAGCACCACCACCUCCAGCCAGAUCAUUAUGUUUAGUUGAUUUGGUUAAAGCCCCCUCUAUAGAAGAUAAUAAUAUAAGUCAAACAGGUUAUUUUCAAAAUAGAACACAAAAAGUUACAGUGGAAAUUAACAUAAACCCUCAGUUGACAGCUAAGACAAAUGCCACGACUAUACUCCAAACUGAGGCGCAUGAAGUACAAAAUUGUAUAACUGAUUGUAAGCUUUUAGGCCUAGACAUCAUAUAUGAAGAACAGCUACCUUCACAUUCAUAUGAUGCAGUAACUGAUGGAUAG